RNAcentral lists this long non-coding RNA (365 nucleotides) under Pongo abelii (Sumatran orangutan). RNAcentral's name for it is "lncRNA (ENSPPYG00000032334.1)". The record is from RNAcentral. Lineage: Eukaryota; Metazoa; Chordata; Mammalia; Primates; Hominidae.
AGUUCUUCCUCCAUGUUCCUUACUCCUGUCUCUGAUCAGCGUGGAGCCUCCGCGUCUACGCGUAACUCAGCGACCAGGUGCUGCACUAACGAUGUGCUCCGCAGGUGCCCUGGGCAACCAUUCAUCAGCUGGUCAAACCCACGACUCCAGCGGGGAUGAGAACAAUACAACGUUUGCUUUAUGCUAUACUAUCAUUCCUACCUUAGCAAGCCUAUUGCAGAGCCUGAGUUUGAAAGUAAGACGAGUUCACAUCCUAGCUCUGUCACUGGAUCUCCAUGAACACAGUGAUGAACCUAAACUGUAAGACUCAAUUUCCCCAUCUGUAAAAUGAAGUUAUUUCUAAAACCUGCUUCAGGGUCGUUCUG